Molecule: long non-coding RNA, 1133 nt
Organism: Equus quagga
Lineage: Eukaryota; Metazoa; Chordata; Mammalia; Perissodactyla; Equidae
Exons: 3
Source: RefSeq, a predicted model, not a curated record
GUCUGGUGCAGGUUAUGAAUCCAAGAGUUCAUGGGAAAUCAGGAAGAUGGAACGCUUGGGUGAGCCUACACCACGGCUCAGAGAGUCUGGAUAUUGAACGCUGGAAAAGAAGUCCGUGAGGGACAGGUAGGAAAAUGGGGCCACGAGGAAGGCUCCCCCGGUGUCUUUACAUUAGCUCAGCAGACUGCACGGCAAUGCUUGUGGUAGGCACGGCCUGCGAGUUGGACAGCAGUCCCACCACCAGAGCUGGUUGUGGCUGAAACAGUAGAGUAAACCAAGUCUGCCUUUUGUGUUCUCCUCCUAACUCUUCUUCUGCGCGAGGCCUCUGGUGAAGGGGCUUCCUGGACCCAAGGCCCCCUGUGGUGCAUGAAUGCACACCUGAGCAGCCCACCUCUCUGAGGAGCCUAACAGCAAAAUGACCUUCACAGGAAGAAGAUAGGAAAGCUCCGGCCUGCAUCGUGCUAAUGGGGGGCCCUGGAGCGAUCGGCAGUCACUAACCUGAAGAGGUUGUGCUGGUAACUAUGUUCAGCCUGAGACCCGGGAGAUGAAGUAAAGGCCUGACACGUUCAUUUCGGUCCUAAAUCAAUAGCAAAACUAGCUGCACGGCUUGAUUACUUGAAACAUUAUUUCUAAAUUGUAAUCAUUCCAGGGUAUUUAUGUUCUCUAAAAUGCACACUAUGACUGAACUCAAAGGCUUAACUGUCUUCAGUUUGUGAUUGCAGCACAGAGAGGAGAUGAAGAACAGUGGGAAACAUCACAGAGAAAUACAAUAUUUUUGCCUUGUGCACAGACUAGCUAAGUUUUCAGCUGAAGAUUUUUUUUUUCAUUUCACUCAAGUCAAUAAUCAUUUACCCACUGGAUAUUGCUUAAAGCAGAGUUUUCAUCUAAUUCUCAUAUAACAAGAUUGAAAAGGAAAAACUAAAUAAUAAUACCUCAUUUGUGUAUAGGACUUGUCUUUCAAAGAAGACAUCAUAACCCACUUUAUACUAUCUAAUUUACAGUGGCAACACUUUUAUAAUGUAAAUACUAGUAAGGGCUAUUAUCAUGUUACAAAUUAUGCACAAAGGAAACUGAGGUAGUAUGUGGGAAAGAAAUGACUGGUUCAAUGUAACUCCCAUUUGAGAGGUGUAAUA